This 17-nucleotide unclassified non-coding RNA is filed under the name Mus musculus (house mouse). RNAcentral's name for it is "oocyte_clustered_small_RNA3719". Lineage: Eukaryota; Metazoa; Chordata; Mammalia; Rodentia; Muridae. The record is from RNAcentral.
CGACUGUCACCGAAGGA